GGGAUAAUCGGGAGAAAUCCCGUCUAAUACCGCGUAAUGCCGCGGGGCUGCAUGGCCCUGCGGCCAAAGGGAGCGAUUCCGGCAACGGAUGGGCAUGCGUGACAUUAGCUAGUUGGCGGGGCAACGGCCCACCAAGGCGACGAUGUCUAGGGGUUCUGAGAGGAAGGUCCCCCACACUGGUACUGAGACACGGACCAGACUCCUACGGGAGGCAGCAGUGAGGAAUAUUGGUCAAUGGGCGCGAGCCUGAACCAGCCAAGUCGCGUGAGGGAUGACGGCCCUACGGGUUGUAAACCUCUUUUGUCGGGGAGCAAAUUCCGCCACGUGUGGCGGAGUCGAGAGUACCCGAAGAAAAAGCAUCGGCUAACUCCGUGCCAGCAGCCGCGGUAAUACGGAGGAUGCGAGCGUUAUCCGGAUUUAUUGGGUUUAAAGGGUGCGUAGGCGGACUGUCAAGUCAGCGGUAAAAUACGGGGGCUCAACCUCCGCCCGCCGUUGAAACUGACGGUCUUGAGUGGGCGAGAAGUAUGCGGAAUGCGUGGUGUAGCGGUGAAAUGCAUAGAUAUCACGCAGAACUCCGAUUGCGAAGGCAGCAUACCGGCGCCCGACUGACGCUGAAGCACGAAAGCGUGGGUAUCGAACAGGAUUAGAUACCCUGGUAGUCCACGCAGUAAACGAUGAGUAAUAGCUGUCCGGG
Molecule: ribosomal RNA, 694 nt
Filed under: uncultured bacterium
Lineage: Bacteria
Description: bacterial SSU rRNA
Rfam family: Bacterial small subunit ribosomal RNA
Source: RNAcentral